AUGAACGCUGGCGGCGUGCUUAACCCAUGCAAGUCGCACGAUGAAGCCCAGCUUGCUGGGUGGAUUAGUGGCGAACGGGUGAGUAACACGUGAGUAACCUGCCCUUAACUCUGGGAUAAGCCUGGGAAACUGGGUCUAAUACCGGAUAGGAGCGUCCACCGCAUGGUGGGUGUUGGAAAGAUUUAUCGGUUUUGGAUGGACUCGCGGCCUAUCAGCUUGUUGGUGAGGUAAUGGCUCACCAAGGCGACGACGGGUAGCCGGCCUGAGAGGGUGACCGGCCACACUGGGACUGAGACACGGCCCAGACUCCUACGGGAGGCAGCAGUGGGGAAUAUUGCACAAUGGGCGCAAGCCUGAUGCAGCGACGCCGCGUGAGGGAUGACGGCCUUCGGGUUGUAAACCUCUUUCAGUAGGGAAGAAGCGAAAGUGACGGUACCUGCAGAAGAAGCACCGGCUAACUACGUG
RNAcentral lists this ribosomal RNA (465 nucleotides) under uncultured bacterium. RNAcentral's name for it is "partial 16S ribosomal RNA". It matches the Rfam family "Bacterial small subunit ribosomal RNA", at positions 29 to 507 of the family's 1533-position model. The record is from RNAcentral.